AAUGGUCUAGUGAGGGCACCG
RNAcentral lists this microRNA (21 nucleotides) under Penaeus japonicus. RNAcentral describes it as "miR-S6". The record is from RNAcentral. Lineage: Eukaryota; Metazoa; Arthropoda; Malacostraca; Decapoda; Penaeidae.